RNAcentral lists this ribosomal RNA (1439 nucleotides) under uncultured organism. Its description in RNAcentral is "16S ribosomal RNA". It matches the Rfam family "Bacterial small subunit ribosomal RNA". The record is from RNAcentral.
UGCCUAACACAUGCAAGUCGAACGAAGCAAUUAAGAUGAAGUUUUCGGAUGGAAUCUUGAUUGACUGAGUGGCGGACGGGUGAGUAACGCGUGGAUAACCUGCCUCACACUGGGGGAUAACAGUUAGAAAUGACUGCUAAUACCGCAUAAGCGCACAGUGCCGCAUGGCAGUGUGUGAAAAACUCCGGUGGUGUGAGAUGGAUCCGCGUCUGAUUAGCCAGUUGGCGGGGUAACGGCCCACCAAAGCGACGAUCAGUAGCCGACCUGAGAGGGUGACCGGCCACAUUGGGACUGAGACACGGCCCAAACUCCUACGGGAGGCAGCAGUGGGGAAUAUUGCACAAUGGGCGAAAGCCUGAUGCAGCGACACCGCGUGAGUGAAGAAGUAUUUCGGUAUGUAAAGCUCUAUCAGCAGGGAAGAAAAUGACGGUACCUGACUAAGAAGCCCCGGCUAACUACGUGCCAGCAGCCGCGGUAAUACGUAGGGGGCAAGCGUUAUCCGGAUUUACUGGGUGUAAAGGGAGCGUAGACGGCGAAGCAAGUCUGAAGUGAAAACCCAGGGCUCAACCCUGGGACUGCUUUGGAAACUGUUUUGCUAGAGUGUCGGAGAGGUAAGUGGAAUUCCUAGUGUAGCGGUGAAAUGCGUAGAUAUUAGGAGGAACACCAGUGGCGAAGGCGGCUUACUGGACGAUAACUGACGUUGAAGCUCGAAAGCGUGGGGAGCAAACAGGAUUAGAUACCUUGGUAGUUCACGCAGUAAACGAUGAAUGAUAGGUGUUGGGGGGCAAAGCCCUUCGGUGCCGCCGCAAACGCAGUAAGCAUUCCACCUGGGGAGUACGUUGGCAAGAAUGAAACUCAAAGGAAUUGACGGGGACCCGCACAAGCGGUGGAGCAUGUGGUUUAAUUAGAAGCAGCGCGAAGAACCUUAUCAAGUCUUGACAUCCUCCUUACGGGCCGGUAACGCGGCCUUUCCUUCGGGACAGGGGAGACAGGUGGUGCAUGGUGGUCGUCAGCUCGUGUCGUGAGAUGAUGGGUUAAGUCCCGCAACGAGCGCAACCCUUAUCGUUAGUAGCCAGCACGUGAAGGUGGGCACUCUAGGGAGACUGCCAGGGAUAACCUGGAGGAAGGUGGGGAUGACGUCAAAUCAUCAUGCCCCUUAUGAUUUGGGCUACACACGUGCUACAAUGGCGUAAACAAAGGGAAGCGAGACAGUGAUGUGGAGCAAAUCCCAAAAAUAACAUCCCAGUUCGGACUGUAGUCUGCAACCCGACUACACGAAGCUGGAAUCGCUAGUAAUCGCGAAUCAGAAUGUCGCGGUGAAUACGUUCCCGGGUCUUGUACACACCGCCCGUCACACCAUGGGAGUCAGCAACGCCCGAAGUCAGUGACCCAACCGAAAGGAGGGAGCUGCCGAAGGCGGGGCAGGUAACUGGGGUGAA